GUGCCAGCCGCCGCGGUAAUACCGGCAGCACAAGUGAUGGCCGAUAUUAUUGGGCCUAAAGCGUUCGUAGCUGGCCGGACAAGUCCGUUGGGAAAUCCACGCGCUCAACGUGUGGGCGUCCGACGGAAACUGCAUAGCUUGGGACCGGAAGGCUCGAAGGGUACGUGCGGGGUAGGAGUGAAAUCCCAUAAUCCCGCACGGACCACCGAUGGCGAAAGCACUUCGAGAAAACGGAUCCGACAGUGAGGGACGAAAGCCAGGGUCUCCAACCGGAUUAGAUACCCGGUAGUCC
This 292-nucleotide ribosomal RNA is filed under the name uncultured bacterium. RNAcentral describes it as "partial 16S ribosomal RNA". It matches the Rfam family "Archaeal small subunit ribosomal RNA", at positions 455 to 747 of the family's 1478-position model. The record is from RNAcentral.